GAUGAACGCUGGCGGCGUGCCUAAUACAUGCAAGUCGAGCGAACAGACGAGGAGCUUGCUCCUCUGACGUUAGCGGCGGACGGGUGAGUAACACGUGGAUAACCUACCUAUAAGACUGGGAUAACUUCGGGAAACCGGAGCUAAUACCGGAUAACAUGUUGAACCGCAUGGUUCAACAGUGAAAGACGGUCUUGCUGUCACUUAUAGAUGGAUCCGCGCCGCAUUAGCUAGUUGGUAAGGUAACGGCUUACCAAGGCAACGAUGCGUAGCCGACCUGAGCGGGUGAUCGGCCACACGGGAACUGAGACACGGUCCAGACUCCUACGGGAGGCAGCAGUAGGGAAUCUUCCGCAAUGGGCGAAAGCCUGACGGAGCAACGCCGCGUGAGUGAUGAAGGUCUUCGGAUCGUAAAACUCUGUUAUUAGGGAAGAACAAAUGUGUAAGUAACUAUGCACGUCUUGACGGUACCUAAUCAGAAAGCCACGGCUAACUACGUG
Molecule: ribosomal RNA, 497 nt
Filed under: uncultured bacterium
Lineage: Bacteria
Description: partial 16S ribosomal RNA
Rfam family: Bacterial small subunit ribosomal RNA
Source: RNAcentral